CGAUGAUUCGUCACAAUCAGGAAUGAAAGCCAAAAGAAUAAGAAACUUUGUACUUUGUAGACCUUGGUACGGGCAAUGAACAGUAUGAAGUGUUGCAUCGUUGUCUUGAAACACCACAUGCUCUUAUCCCACCAGUAUAUAUACCGUAGUUAACGAGUCUCCUGCCACACGAUCUCGCAUCACCUUCCUCUAGAACUCAGAAGAGGACUGCAGGUGUCACACCAGUGGGAAUCGUUCAAGUGUUUGAGAAGGAAGUUCUGCAAACAGGCGACUUCCAGUAUGGCUUUGAGAGCCGGUCAGGAGGCAAAUUCUUCGUCGGACUCAAUCAACGUCCCAUCAUGCUUGCAACGGUUCAUGAAGGAUAUUGUCCCGCAUGCAUUGGAUGUUCCACGUUCUCCUGGUGGGGGGGAGAGCGUACCGCGUCCUAACCAUCUCUCCGGUGAACCCGACCCUCACGUUUGCAAGGAGUUUCCUUGCAAGAUAUGUAAUCGACCUCACUAGACAGGGAAAUUUCACCUACAUGUGUUGGAAGCGGAUUGCAAAUAUUUCAUGAAUUGAUUGCAGCAACUUCUUCCACACGAUAGCAAUGCUGCAAUGACUAAACUGGCAAUAAGAGAUCCUACUUUCUCAUGUAUGGUUGUCUUCUUCCAAAACGUGAGGUAUCUUACAUAUUAAUAAAAAAUAACCCUUUCAAUUUGAA
Molecule: non-coding RNA, 700 nt
Organism: Physcomitrium patens
Lineage: Eukaryota; Viridiplantae; Streptophyta; Bryopsida; Funariales; Funariaceae
Source: RefSeq, a predicted model, not a curated record